Molecule: long non-coding RNA, 1090 nt
Organism: Ostrea edulis (European flat oyster)
Lineage: Eukaryota; Metazoa; Mollusca; Bivalvia; Ostreida; Ostreidae
Exons: 3
Source: RefSeq, a predicted model, not a curated record
UUAUAAGUAUUGAUUUCAGAUACAUGUAUGACAUUGCAUGCUUGAUCGGGGAGGGGGGCUACAGUUAGAUAAUAUUCUGGUCAGCACAUUCGAUAAACUACAGUUGUACAUGGAACUCAUUAAAUCACUUCUUUUUCUUUCAGUGGUCUUCAACUUUUAAUCUCCAAGAAGGAAAUGUAAUUAAAAGAUGAGUAAAGUAUCCCUAAGAAUACCAGAAGAAAGGCUGUGUUGAGAAAAACAGCCCUUCCUCAGUACCUCAGAACUAGAUGAUAGCCCUUGUUACUUUAUGCUGAAUAUGACACAAUAUAGAAGAUCUGAUCAUGAAGAAGUUACACCAUUGAUACACUUGCCAACUGCCAAAACUACUUUCUGAUAGUAUGACGAGAUUAGAAGAUAUCAUGGUGUAGUCAUGACACAAACUGCAAAUCAAAGAUUGUCUUCCCCAGAGGAUGAACAGAGUGCUUCACAUGGAUAACAUUUCCUUUUCGAGUUUUGAAAUUAUCAAACAUAAUUUUGCAUCAAAGAGAAAAAGUGGCUUUGACAUAACCUAGAAAAUACAAUAUUCAUUAAAAAGAGCAUGGCACCAGGAUAGCUAGAUGCCCAUAUUCCCAGCAAAAUGAGCCAGUCCUAAAGAGAGUCCACUAGAGAUGAAAUAAAACUCAUUAAAAUGUAUUGAGAAAAGAUUUGUCAGAAUGUUAUGCAUCAUGAUCAACAGAAAAGAACUUCACAGGUAGACCAAAGCUGACAUGGGAUGAGAUCCUAAAACGAGACCUAGAGUUUAGAGGAUUGGAUAGGAUCAAUCCACUGGGUCGCCAAGUGUGGAAGUACAAACUUCAACCUCGACAGGACAGCCAGGCCUCAAUCUUGCAAAAAUAUUAAUUUGGCCUGGAUAGUCAAAAUGAGUGAUGAUGAUAUCAAGGUCUGACACUGUAAGCUCAGUAAGGGUAGAUGCUGGCAAUGGAGCUGUUAAGCAAUACAACAAACAGGUUUAACAUUGAACAUGUUUAUAUACUUUUUUAGCUCACCUGAGCCAAAGGCUCAAAUGAGCUUUUCUGAUCACCUUUGCCUGUCGUCUGUCUCUCUGUAAACU